Molecule: ribosomal RNA, 239 nt
Filed under: uncultured bacterium
Lineage: Bacteria
Description: partial 16S ribosomal RNA
Rfam family: Bacterial small subunit ribosomal RNA
Source: RNAcentral
UACGUAGGGGGCAAGCGGUUGUCCGGAAUUAUUGGGCGUAAAGAGCGCGUAGGCGGUCCGGUAAGUCAGCUGUGAAAGUCAAGGGCUCAACCCUUGAAAGCCGGUUGAUACUGUCGGGCUAGAGUCCGGAAGAGGCGAGUGGAAUUCCCGGUGUAGCGGUGAAAUGCGCAGAUAUCGGGAGGAACACCAAUGGCGAAGGCAGCUCGCUGGGACGGUACUGACGCUGAGGCGCGAAAGCG